UUGUUGCCAGCGAUUAGGUCGGGAACUCAAAGGAGACUGCCAGUGAUAAACUGGAGGAAGGUGGGGAUGACGUCAAGUCAUCAUGGCCCUUACGACCAGGGCUACACACGUGCUACAAUGGCGCAUACAAAGAGAAGCGACCUCGCGAGAGCAAGCGGACCUCAUAAAGUGCGUCGUAGUCCGGAUUGGAGUCUGCAACUCGACUCCAUGAAGUCGGAAUCGCUAGUAAUCGUGGAUCAGAAUGCCACGGUGAAUACGUUCCCGGGCCUUGUACACACCGCCCGUCACACCAUGGGAGUGGGUUGCAAAAGAAGUAGGUAGCUUAACCUUCGGGAGGGCGCUUACCACUUUGUGAUUCAUGACUGGGGUGAAGUCGUAACAAGGUAACCGUAGGGGAACCUGCGGUUGGAUCACCUCCUUACCUUAAAGAAGC
This 433-nucleotide ribosomal RNA is filed under the name Salmonella enterica subsp. enterica serovar Virchow. Its description in RNAcentral is "bacterial SSU rRNA". It matches the Rfam family "Bacterial small subunit ribosomal RNA", at positions 1112 to 1533 of the family's 1533-position model. The record is from RNAcentral. Lineage: Bacteria; Pseudomonadati; Pseudomonadota; Gammaproteobacteria; Enterobacterales; Enterobacteriaceae. RNAcentral also lists the same sequence under 1 other name.